Molecule: ribosomal RNA, 18 nt
Filed under: Hirsutella rhossiliensis
Lineage: Eukaryota; Fungi; Ascomycota; Sordariomycetes; Hypocreales; Ophiocordycipitaceae
Description: partial 18S ribosomal RNA
Source: RNAcentral
GGGCGCGGAGGAAUAUUA